RNAcentral lists this ribosomal RNA (253 nucleotides) under uncultured bacterium. RNAcentral's name for it is "partial 16S ribosomal RNA". It matches the Rfam family "Bacterial small subunit ribosomal RNA", at positions 524 to 776 of the family's 1533-position model. The record is from RNAcentral.
UACGGAGGGAGCUAGCGUUGUUCGGAAUUACUGGGCGUAAAGCGCACGUAGGCGGCUUUGUAAGUUAGAGGUGAAAGCCUGGGGCUCAACCCCAGAAUUGCCUUUAAGACUGCAUCGCUUGAAUCCAGGAGAGGUGAGUGGAAUUCCGAGUGUAGAGGUGAAAUUCGUAGAUAUUCGGAAGAACACCAGUGGCGAAGGCGGCUCACUGGACUGGUAUUGACGUUGAGGUGCGAAAGCGUGGGGAGCAAACAGG